This 254-nucleotide ribosomal RNA is filed under the name uncultured bacterium. RNAcentral describes it as "partial 16S ribosomal RNA". It matches the Rfam family "Bacterial small subunit ribosomal RNA", at positions 524 to 776 of the family's 1533-position model. The record is from RNAcentral.
UACGUAGGGGGCAAGCGUUGUUCGGAAUGACUGGGCGUAAAGGGUGCGUAGGCGGUGUAGCAAGUUAGAAGUGAAAUACCUAGAGCUUAACUCAGGUGCUGCUUCUAAAACUGCUAUACUUGAGUGCAGUAGAGGAAAGUGGAAUUCCUAGUGUAGCGGUGGAAUGCGUAGAUAUUAGGAGGAACAUCAGUGGCGAAGGCGACUUUCUGGACUGUAACUGACGCUGAGGCACGAAAGUGUGGGGAGCAAGCAGG